This is a long non-coding RNA of Cryptotermes secundus, 1052 nucleotides long. RefSeq lists it as uncharacterized. The record is from RefSeq and is a predicted model, not a curated record. Lineage: Eukaryota; Metazoa; Arthropoda; Insecta; Blattodea; Kalotermitidae. The transcript has 2 exons.
UGACCAGACCUGGGAUUGAACCCGGGCCACUGCAGUUGGAAGCCAGCGACUAACCGCUUGAGCUAUGGCGCAACCCUUCCUAAAGCAUCCUUUUGUUGCUGUUGUCAGUUCUUGUGGUUCCUUGUAUUCAAGGAUAAUUCUUCCCUGUGUUUUGGAAUCAGUAUUUGUGUGCCAUCUCCAUUGUAUGAGCUGUGAGGCAGUGUUAAGCUGUUCUUUCUACACGUGCUCAAAUGUGGACAAGAACGUUUAGUUUUUCCCUCACUUUAUUGUUUCUGCUUGAGAUGUGUAAUCCUUGCACUGGUACUCAGUUGAGUUUAAAUUUUACAUUAAAUGUGAGACAGCCAAUAAAUUUGUUGCCAUACUGUUAACUCCAAAAUUUCAAACCAUAAAAAAUAAUACUUGGAGGUUCUUUUCAGAGAGAAUACAUAUGUCUGAUUUUUUUAGUCUGGCUCUUGAUUUGCAGAACAGUACUUUAGGAUUAUAAUUGCUCCCUCACAUUUCUGUGUUUGAAAUGAGCUAAAUGUUUAAUAGGUAUCUGUUUGUUAUUCUUUUAUAUGUACUUCUACCUGGAAGAAAGUGUUCUAACCUCUGUACCAUCCAGACUGUGACUAAUGCCCGGAAAAUUUAAAAAUUCUUGAAAAGUUUUACAGAUUUUUAUCCUGUAUGUUUUCUUCUUGGAUACUGACUGCAACAAUAGAGAGGAGAGGAAAAACAAUAUUUAUUUUUGCUGAUCUCCCAGUAGUGAGAGAUGUGCUCAGAAAAUACAGCUGUUGUCAUUAAAGCCUUGGCUUUCGAAACUGAAAAGCCCAAAACAUGAAGCUGGGAUGAAAUCUAAGAUUUGAGGUUAUCAAAGCAGUGAAUGGAGAUUACAGUCUUCUGGCAUGUGACGUCAUAUACCAAACUGCGAUGUUACCAGGAACCUGGAAGAAGCUGCUGCCUCCAUCUUCAGGUUUCUCCACCUACCAGACUACAUGGGGGCACAUCUCAGAAAACCCCUUUUGUUAAAACAACCAUAAGGAUGAAUGUUUAAAAUGAAGCUUCUUGUAUUGUGA